GUGUUCGCUUCGGCAGCACAUAUACUAAAAUUGGAAUAAUACAGAGAUUAGCAAUGGCCUGUGCUCAAGGGUGACACACAAAUACUUGAAAUGUUCCAUAUUUUU
This is a small nuclear RNA of Ictidomys tridecemlineatus (thirteen-lined ground squirrel), 105 nucleotides long. The record is from Ensembl. Lineage: Eukaryota; Metazoa; Chordata; Mammalia; Rodentia; Sciuridae.